CUAUAUUGUUAUGAAAACUUAAGUUAUUAAAAGCUGCUCUCUUAUUUUGUCAAAACUCCCAAUUUAACCCUUAUAUUGUCAAGUGCUUUUCUUCAUAUCCUGUGCUUUCUCUAUAUAGGUAGGAUACAGUUCUCAGAGACUACUCAGAAACCACAGUGACUCCAAGUACAGUAUGUUUUAGGACUUUCAAAAAUCUCUACCGAGGCUAGAAUGAGAAUUAAAAGGAGAAUGCUUAUCCCAUCCCAUCCUAGCUAUACCUUUCCAAUCUACUGGAUGUCUUCCUGCUGAUGAGGAAGCCAAGCCUGAGAGAGUUUGGAUGACUUGCCCAGGACCACACAGUUACUUGAUGGCUGGAACAGAAUGUGAAGUCAAAUCUUCUUGAGUUCAAAAAACCAGUAAGCUGCCUCUCUAAAACUUAAAGCCACAGUUAAAAAAAUCAUAUUCUAUAAACCCUUCAUUCAACAAAUAUUUAUUAAUCUUCUAUUAUGUGUGAGUCACUCUUCUGAGACAAUGAGCAAGACACAGAUUUAAAAAUACAUUGUCCCUGACCUCACAAUCCAGUAGCAACCUUACAGCCAUUUUAGCUGAAAUAGAAUAGAAGGAAAUUGAGUUAGGAGCUCAUCUAUAAACUGUUAGGUAGGCAAAGUAAACAAAAAUCAUGGAAAUGUUGGUCAAGAACUGAAUAAUAAAAAGGAAGAGAAAAUGAAGAGCA
RNAcentral lists this long non-coding RNA (712 nucleotides) under Monodelphis domestica (gray short-tailed opossum). RNAcentral's name for it is "lncRNA (ENSMODG00000046173.1)". The record is from RNAcentral. Lineage: Eukaryota; Metazoa; Chordata; Mammalia; Didelphimorphia; Didelphidae.